GACGGAGGAUGCAAGUGUUAUCCGGAAUCACUGGGCGUAAAGCGUCUGUAGGUGGUUUAAUAAGUCAACUGUUAAAUCUUGAGGCUCAACCUCAAAAUCGCAGUCGAAACUAUUAGGCUAGAGUAUAGUAGGGGUAAAGGGAAUUUCCAGUGGAGCGGUGAAAUGCGUAGAGAUUGGAAAGAACACCGAUGGCGAAGGCACUUUACUGGGCUAUUACUAACACUCAGAGACGAAAGCUGGGGUAGCAAAUGGG
RNAcentral lists this ribosomal RNA (253 nucleotides) under uncultured bacterium. RNAcentral's name for it is "partial 16S ribosomal RNA". It matches the Rfam family "Bacterial small subunit ribosomal RNA", at positions 524 to 776 of the family's 1533-position model. The record is from RNAcentral.